UACGUAGGGGGCAAGCGUUGUCCGGAUUUAUUGGGCGUAAAGCGCGUGUAGGCGGCCACACAGGUCCGCUGUGAAAACUCGAGGCUCAACCUCGAGCUGUCGGUGGAAACCGUGUGGCUAGAGUCCGGAAGAGGAGACUGGAAUUCCUGGUGUAGCGGUGAAAUGCGCAGAUAUCAGGAGGAACACCGGUGGCGAAGGCGGCCCACUGGAUCGGUACUGACGCUGAGGUGCGAAAGCGUGGGGAGCAAACAGG
Molecule: ribosomal RNA, 253 nt
Filed under: uncultured bacterium
Lineage: Bacteria
Description: partial 16S ribosomal RNA
Rfam family: Bacterial small subunit ribosomal RNA
Source: RNAcentral